UACGUAGGGUGCGAGCGUUAAUCGGAAUUACUGGGCGUAAAGCGUGCGCAGGCGGUUUGAUAAGACAGGCGUGAAAUCCCCGGGCUUAACCUGGGAACUGCGCUUGUGACUGUCUCACUAGAGUACGGCAGAGGGGGGUGGAAUUCCACGUGUAGCAGUGAAAUGCGUAGAGAUGUGGAGGAACACCGAUGGCGAAGGCAGCCCCCUGGGCCGAUACUGACGCUCAUGCACGAAAGCGUGGGUAGCAAACAGGAUUAGAUACCCUGGUAGUCCACGCCCUAAACGAUGUCAACUAGGUGUUGGGUGGGUAAAACCAUUUAGUACCGUAGCUAACGCGUGAAGUUGACCGCCUGGGGAGUACGGCCGCAAGGUUAAAACUCAAAGGAAUUGACGGGGACCCGCACAAGCGGUGGAUGAUGUGGAUUAAUUCGAUGCAACGCGAAAAACCUUACCUACCCUUGACAUGUCCAGAAGCCUGAAGAGAUUUGGGUGUGCCCGAAAGGGAACUGGAACACAGGUGCUGCAUGGCUGUCGUCAGCUCGUGUCGUGAGAUGUUGGGUUAAGUCCCGCAACGAGCGCAACCCUUGUCGUUAGUUGCCAUCAUUUAGUUGGGCACUUUAACGAGACUGCCGGUGACAAACCGGAGGAAGGUGGGGAUGACGUCAAGUCCUCAUGGCCCUUAUGGGUAGGGCUUCACACGUCAUACAAUGGUCGGUACAGAGGGUUGCCAAGCCGCGAGGUGGAGCCAAUCCCAGAAAGCCGAUCGUAGUCCGGAUUGCAGGCUGCAACUCGCCUGCAUGAAGUCGGAAUCGCUAGUAAUCGCGGAUCAGCAUGUCGCGGUGAAUACGUUCCCGGGUCU
This 859-nucleotide ribosomal RNA is filed under the name uncultured bacterium. Its description in RNAcentral is "SSU rRNA". It matches the Rfam family "Bacterial small subunit ribosomal RNA", at positions 524 to 1381 of the family's 1533-position model. The record is from RNAcentral.